UGGUCAAGCUACUAAGGGCGUACGGUGGAUGUCUUGGUGUCAGGAGGCGAUGAAGGACGUGGCUGGCUGCGAUAAGCCCCGGGGAGCCGUCAAACAGGCUUAGAUCCGGGGAUUUCCGAAUGGGGAAACCCACCGGGAUUCAUCCCGGUAUCCUGUGCUGAAUCCAUAGGCACAGGAGGCGAACGAGGGGAACUGAAACAUCUAAGUACCCUCAGGAAGAGAAAGCAAAUGCGAUUCCCUCAGUAGUGGCGAGCGAACGGGGAAGAGCCCAAACCAGAUAACUGUCAUAGCCCGUGAGCGUUGGUUAUCUGGGGUUGCAGGGUUCGACCGGGCGGGAUCACGGACCUGCCGGGAAGUUACAAACCUGAUUGAUAGCAGAAAAGGCUGGAAUGCCUUGCCAUAGAGGGUGAUAGCCCCGUAUACGAAAUUGAUCAGGCUUCCUUGGUCGAAUUCCUGAGUACCACGGGACACGUGAAAUCUUGUGGGAAACCGGGAGGACCAUCUCCCAAGGCUAAAUACUACCUGGCGACCGAUAGUGAACUAGUACCGUGAGGGAAAGGUGAAAAGAACCCCGGCGAGGGGAGUGAAAUAGAACCUGAAACCGUAUGCCUACAAGCUGUGGGAGGGCUAUGCCUCGGGCUUUCGGGCCCAAGGAAUGCCUGACCGCGUGCCUUUUGCAUAAUGAGUCAGUGAGUUACUCUGCGUAGCAAGGUUAAGCCGGCAGGUGGAGCCGAAGCGAAAGCGAGUCCGAACAGGGCGAAUGAGUUGCGUGGAGUAGACCCGAAACCAGGUGAUCUACCCAUGGCCAGGGUGAAGCAGGCGUAAAAGCCUGUGGAGGCCCGAACCGGUGUCGGUUGAAAACGGCUCGGAUGAGCUGUGGGUAGGGGUGAAAGGCCAAUCAAACCUGGAGAUAGCUGGUUCUCCCCGAAAUAUAUUUAGGUAUAGCCUCGUAAACUCUGUGGCGGAGGUAGAGCACUGGAUGGGCUAGGGGUCCUACAAGACUACCAAACCCAACCAAACUCCGAAUGCCGCCAACAUUUAUUACGGGAGUCAGACUACGGGCGAUAAGGUCCGUGGUCGAAAGGGAAACAGCCCAGACCGCCAGCUAAGGCCCCCAAAUGUGUGCUAAGUGGGAAAGGAUGUGGAAACGCUAAAACAGCCAGGAGGUUGGCUUAGAAGCAGCCAUCCUUUAAAGAAAGCGUAACAGCUCACUGGUCGAGUGGUUCCGCGCCGAAAAUUCAACGGGGCUCAAGCACACUGCCGAAGCUGCGGGUGGACGGCUUUACGCCGUUCACGGUAGGGGAGCGUUCCACCCCGGGUCGAAGCCGGACCGAAAGGACCGGUGGACUGGGUGGAAGUGCUUAUGCUGACAUGAGUAGCGAUAAAACGGGUGAAAAACCCGUUCGCCGGAAGCCUAAGGGUUCCUGGGCAAGGUUAAUCCACCCAGGGUUAGUCGGAUCCUAAGCCGAGGCCGAAAGGCGUAGGCGAUGGCAAACAGGUUAAUAUUCCUGUACCACCUGUAUUGCGUUACCAGCGAAGGGGGGACGCAGAAGGGUAGGCCAUCCUGCUGACGGAAUAGCAGGUCCAAGCCUGUAGGAGGGUUUCCCAGGCAAAUCCGGGAAGCCGUAACUCUGAGAGGUGAUGGGGAGGGGUUUUUAACCCCGCAAACUGGCUGAUCCCACACUGCCGAGAAAAGCCUCUAAGCGAGUAAUACAGGUGUCCGUACCGCAAACCGACACAGGUAGGCAGGGAGAGAAUCCCGAGGCGCUUGAGUGAUCCCUCGUUAAGGAACUCGGCCAAUUGACCCCGUAACUUCGGGAGAAGGGGCGCCCUCAUUAGGUGAAAGACUUCGCGUCUGGAGCCGAAGGGGGCCGCAGAGAAAUGGCCGCGGCGACUGUUUACUAAAAACACAGGUCUCUGCUAAGUCGUAAGACGACGUAUAGGGACUGACGCCUGCCCGGUGCUGGAAGGUUAAGGGGAAGUGUCAUCCUGAGCUUGUCCCGGGAGAAGCACCAAACCGAAGCCCCGGUAAACGGCGGCCGUAACUAUAACGGUCCUAAGGUAGCGAAAUUCCUUGUCGGGUAAGUUCCGACCUGCACGAAAGGCGUAACGACUGCGGCACUGUCUCAACGAGGGGCUCAGCGAAAUUGUGAUACCGGUGAAGACGCCGGUUACCCGCGGCAAGACGGAAAGACCCCGUGCACCUUCACUACAACUUGGUAUUGGAUUUCGGGGCAAUUUGUGUAGGAUAGGUGGGAGGCUGUGAAGCCGGGGCGCUAGCUCCGGUGGAGCCGUCCUUGAAAUACCACCCUGGUUGUUCUGGAAUUCUAACCCAGGCCCGUUAUCCGGGCCGGGGACAGUGCCUGGUGGGUAGUUUGACUGGGGCGGUCGCCUCCUAAAAGGUAACGGAGGCGCGCGAAGGUUCCCUCAGGCUGAUUGGAAACCAGCCGUAGAGUGCAAAGGCAUAAGGGAGCUUGACUGCGAGACUGACAGGUCGAGCAGGUGCGAAAGCAGGUCUUAGUGAUCCGGUGGUUCCGUAUGGAAGGGCCAUCGCUCAACGGAUAAAAGGUACGCCGGGGAUAACAGGCUUAUCUCCCCCAAGAGUUCAUAUCGACGGGGAGGUUUGGCACCUCGAUGUCGGCUCAUCGCAUCCUGGGGCUGAAGUAGGUCCCAAGGGUUCGGCUGUUCGCCGAUUAAAGCGGUACGUGAGCUGGGUUUAAAACGUCGCAAGACAGUUUGGUCCCUAUCUGCCGUGGGCGGAGGAUACUUGAGGGGAGCUGUCCCUAGUACGAGAGGACCGGGACGGACGAACCUCUAGUGUACCAGUUGUCACGCCAGUGGCACCGCUGGGUAGCUAUGUUCGGAAGGGAUAACCGCUGAAGGCAUCUAAGCGGGAAGCCCCCCCCAAGAUGAGGUAUCCCGUGGUUUAAACCACCUGAAGAUCCCUUGUAGACUACAAGGUUGAUAGGCCGGAUGUGUAAGCGCAGCGAUGCGUUUAGCUAACCGGUACUAAUAGAUCGUGAGGCUUGACCG
Molecule: ribosomal RNA, 3033 nt
Filed under: Deltaproteobacteria bacterium
Lineage: Bacteria; Pseudomonadati; Myxococcota; Myxococcia
Description: 23S ribosomal RNA
Rfam family: Bacterial large subunit ribosomal RNA
Source: RNAcentral